GGGGAUUGCACUCAGUGCUCUGGGAGGUCUUUUCCAACCUGGAAACUUUUUUGAAAUUGUGUAAAAAAAGGAUGUUGGAAAGUGUGCAGAGGAUGGAGAAAGGUCUGGAGGAAUGGCUGAGGGUGUUUCAGGACACUCAGGGAUCUUCAGCUCUGAUCUCUGUGACCGAGACAGGAUCCUGGGAAUGGCUGGAGCUGUGCCAGGGGAGGUUUAGGAUGGAUUUUAGGGAAAGGUUUUCCUCCACAGAGUCCCCAGAAAAUGGGAUGAAGCUGUUCCAGGGGAGGUUUAGGAUGGAUUUUAGAGCCCCCAGAGGGUGCUGGGCACACCCAGGCUCCCCAGGGAAUGGG
RNAcentral lists this long non-coding RNA (347 nucleotides) under Zonotrichia albicollis (white-throated sparrow). Its description in RNAcentral is "lncRNA (ENSZALG00000005081.1)". The record is from RNAcentral. Lineage: Eukaryota; Metazoa; Chordata; Aves; Passeriformes; Passerellidae.